This 204-nucleotide unclassified non-coding RNA is filed under the name Pseudomonas poae. RNAcentral describes it as "Pseudomonas sRNA P29". Lineage: Bacteria; Pseudomonadati; Pseudomonadota; Gammaproteobacteria; Pseudomonadales; Pseudomonadaceae. The record is from RNAcentral.
AAACGACAAAAGGGACCCGAAGGUCCCUUUUAAUGUGUCGUUGCGUGCUCUUUUUUAUUAUUGAGGGGCGGCCUGUUAUUGUUUUUGGCAGCCGUGGCCCUUUACUGCUGUUUUGGGUGACCCCCAUCCGGGGUCAAGAGCAAACGUAUUUUUUUGAGCGCUGAUGUGCUUCCAAAAAAAUCUGUUAGCUGCGUCUCUGCCGUG